CCUGCACUCCUUGUGUUCCCAUUCAGUGACCAGCACUGAGCAGACUCACCAUGGAGCUGGGGCUGAGCUGGCUUUUCCUUGUUGUGCUUUUACAAGGUGUCCAGUGUGAGGAGAAGCUGGUGGAGUCUGGAGGAGGCUUGGUGCAGCCUGGAGGGUCCCUAAAACUCUCGUGUGUGGCUUCCGGAUUCUCCUUCAGUGGUUACUACAUGAGCUGGGUCCGCCAGGCUCCAGGGAAGGGGCUGGAGUGGGUGGCAGGAAUAAGUUAUGAUGGAAGUGGUAAAUACUACCCAGACUCUGUGAAAGGCCGAUUCACCAUCUCCAGAGACAAUUCCAAGAACACCGUGUCCCUGCAAAUGAGCAGUCUGAGGUCUGAGGACACGGCCACGUAUUACUGUGCAAGAGACACAGUGCAAGGACUUCAGUGUGAGCCCGGACACAAACCUCCCUGCAGGUUGCUCAGGACCAGCAGGGGGCGCUGA
Molecule: non-coding RNA, 479 nt
Organism: Nannospalax galili (Upper Galilee mountains blind mole rat)
Lineage: Eukaryota; Metazoa; Chordata; Mammalia; Rodentia; Spalacidae
Source: the annotation of a RefSeq genome assembly